Long non-coding RNA from Musa acuminata AAA Group (dessert banana), 3559 nucleotides. RefSeq lists it as uncharacterized. The record is from RefSeq and is a predicted model, not a curated record. The transcript has 3 exons. NCBI's taxonomy places the organism in Eukaryota, Viridiplantae, Streptophyta, Magnoliopsida, Zingiberales, Musaceae.
AAUAUCCAUGAAGGAAUCUGCCCAUUGUAAUAACUGGUUUUAUUAUUUGCUCUCUGGAUGCAUCUGUGAUGUGGUUCUUGAAGAAGCAACUAGAAGUUGUGAUGAUUCUAAAGAAAGGACUCUUAAGGCCUUCAUGCUUCUCUUAUCUCAAAGGAGAACUUGUGAUGCACGGCAUGCUCACAGUUCUUGUUAAAAGGUGCAGUGGUCAUCUGGGGCAUGUUUGAUGGUUCCAGUUCAUCUUUACAGAUCAAACAAAAGACUGUCAUGUGGCACAAAAGAGCUGCAAGGGCAUCGGUCAUUAUUACUCAAGCAGGACCACUCGUAGUAGAAUAACGACAAAAUGUUUGUGGUUUUUGCAUGUGUUUGUGGACUUUUUGCUAUCUUUCCCUUAAUUAUUGCAGUGGCUUUUCCUGUCAUAUUAUUACCAUAAACCAUUCUGAAAACUGUAGUCUAGCGAUCACAAGUUGGGUUAUGUUAUCUUUUCUUCUCACCAUAUUGUUCUUCCCAUUCUAAUCUUGCUUCAUAUUGGAUUUUUUACAUUGUUGUCUCCUGGUCUUUUCCAUUUGGAAGAUGAUGAUGCAUCACAGGAUUGUUAAGUCUGUUGUUUUGUAAUCCCAAUGUGUUAAAUGCUCAAUCAUUAUGCAGUGCACAGGUAGUAUAUACCAAUCGCUUCAGUUCCAGAUUAUGAUAUCUGUGCUCGCAGGCAACACUGACGACUCACAGGUAGAGUGAUGUUUCCACUCGGACAUGACUUUGGCUGGUAGCCAGUUUUGUCCAAACUUGAGGCUCCAUGCCCGAUUUAUGUAUUUAUUUCAUUUAUCGGUUUUUUUAUUCGAACUCCCCAUACUCAAUGAACUUUUUGCUAGUUUAAAGAAAGUGUGUGGUUUAGAGGGAGGAGCUCAAGUUAGGGUGUCGAAGUGCCACCGUCCGUCCCCCCAUGGCUUUUGGUACUUGCAGCUUGUUGUAUUCAAGUAUCUAGCAAAAGGGACGCAUGCCCAAGGAUUCUUUCUUCCUCUGGUAGCCACUUCACGUAAGCGCAUGUGUUUGUUGGCAGCUCAACGACUGUAGCCCAUCAGAAAGGUUUGAUCCAAAGCGAGGUCAUCAUCAUCUUCUUGACAUGAUGGUGCAACUCAUUUUGGAAGGAGGACCGCAGAAGGAGGGCUUGCUGCUGUGUCACUGUCUUCCCUUAAACUGAUAAAAGAAGCCAAAAUCCAACAGCGAGGAGUCGAGUAAGAUCUGAAGCUCAAGGCUGAGGAGUGAGAGAUGGAAUCCCCUCCCUCUGAGCCGCCACCCUCGCCGCCCGCUGUCGAUCUCUCCCUCACCCUCGCCGCGGCCUCGUCGUCGCCGCCGUCCUCCGGCCACGACGCGAGGGACGUCAGGCUCUUUCCCUGCCUCUUCUGCAACAGGAAGUUCCUCAAGUCUCAGGCCCUCGGCGGACACCAGAAUGCCCACAAGAAAGAGCGAGGUAGUAGCUGGAAUCCCCACCUCUAUCUCCCACCACCACCACCACCACCACCUACCACACACUCCUUUCCCAUCGCUUCCCACUCAUGCAAGCCUGUCCUCCACCGUUCCGGCGACUGCGGAGCCCCUCGCCUGCUGGCUGACCGGCCCUUCCUCAUCCUCAACUGGCAGAGGGCUUCACACCCCCAUCAGGCACUCUCACCAGACCUCGGUUCCGUCAAUUCCAUUGCUGCUGCUGCUGCUCCACUUCCAUCCACUGGUGACGACAGGACCAUUAUCGAUCUCUCCUUGAGGCUCUAAGUCUCAGUAGAAUGUGUUUGCUGCAGAGUAGUUCGAUUUUUCUUCCUUCUUUCUUUCAAUCUCUUCCCGAUAGCUCUGCUGCCGCCCGCAGUCCGCGGGUUGCAUGGUGGAGCAGACCGUGCUUGACAUGGCUACAAGCAUUUGUAUUUGGCGGGUGGUGGGAUGUCGAUAUAACGUGGAGGUGUACGCUUUGUAGGGAACGUUACAUCAUGUUCCCUCCCACUCGAAGUUAUUUGAUCAUCAUCCUUUUUCCGAAUAGUUCAGCCCAUCGAUCGGCCUGCAAGAUUCGUGUGGAUGUAUACGAGCAGAUGUGUCUCUCAGCUUUCAUUCGACUAUUGAAGAAAGAAGAAAGUCCUUACGUAACUUCAUUUAGGAAUCUCAUGGUGAUCGCCGGAAUCUACUUCAGGUAGGAAGCUGAUAUCCGGAAAUAAAUCUGACCCCAAUGAGAGGCUGCUGAUACGACUCCCAAACUAAGGAUCGACAUUCCCUCAAGAGAACUUCCGACAGUCCCAACAGUUGAACUCUCAUAACACGACACCUCUCUCUCUCUCUAACUUUGGACUUAUUGAGGUGAGUUUUGAUGUGAGUGUCGGAGAAGGAUCUCGUCAAACACAUUUCGUCAUUUCACCCUCGCGGAUCGUUUUUGAGAGAAUCUACCUUCCUUCUGUGGGAAAAUGGAUCAAAUCGAGCCUUGUCUCGCACUUUGGACAGAAGACCUCAAGCAGACCCGAAAUCUUUUGCUGUAUCAGUUCAUGAAGUCGACUUAGUUCUCCGGGACAGCCCAUCUUCCCCUCUGUCAGUUCUUAGUGGCCCCAAAAGAAAGAAAGAGAGAGAGAGAGAGAGAUGGCUAUCAUGAUGCUUCUUUAGUUACCUACAAGACUUGGAGAAGGAACACAUGGGAAUAGGAGUUUUGAUCUCCUGUGCAAGCUAAGGUGUAUACAUUGGAGGAGUCGCAUCAGCGCAGUAAAAAGAGAGGAAGCUUCGGAUGUGGUGGCUGUGGAUGAUAUCUUAAUUACUGGGGAGAGAUUCUCAUGUCUCUUUCACACAGUUUCAAUUCCACCUUGUGUUUCUCUACUGCCAAACCUCUAUUUUCAGAUCAGUGAUGUCCAAAACUAUAGAACUUAGACUUCAAUUCAUUCUUUUGCUGGGCAUGAAAUUUUUGAUCCUAUAACUGCGUAUAUAAUGCGCUAAUUGAGAUUGCCUCCUAUAGCCUCAAAGCAUUGCAAAGUCGUACAAAGUGCAAACUUCUAUUCACCAAAACUUAAUCCAAUCACCAUGACUUACUGAUGAUGAUCACUUACCAGUCUGCAACCAAAACCUUACGGAACUGUUCAUCUGUCUCAGCUUUUGCCCCUAACACAAAUGUCGGCAAGCUUUUCGGCAUUCUUUAGCCCCUAAUCAUUGUCCUUCUACCAAACAUUACCCUCUGUAUCAAGCUUUCUCUCCUGCAUCAUUGAUCUUUAAUCAUUGAGUCUCCAAAUCUCCCCCCUUCUGAUGCAUGUCAUGUGUUGUUUCUCAGUGGAUCAUCCUGUCGUGUCUUCGACCUGUCGAUCGUACUUUUUUGUCACAGCAGCAGAUGGGAGGAACCAGUGUGGUGGAUGCAGGGGAAAAAGCCUGAACACAAUGAAUCCACGAUAACUCACGACAGGAUCUAACAAUCUGUUCUUGUUGAACGAGGCCGGCAAUCACCUCAGGAGCAUCAUAACCUCGAGGCAUGCAAGGAGAUGGCUGUCUGCCUCAGUCACUAUGUGACUUCGGGUGAUCUCUCUCGGUGAAGUGCACCCACUCGAUGCCA